This 256-nucleotide ribosomal RNA is filed under the name uncultured bacterium. Its description in RNAcentral is "partial 16S ribosomal RNA". It matches the Rfam family "Bacterial small subunit ribosomal RNA", at positions 526 to 779 of the family's 1533-position model. The record is from RNAcentral.
CGAAGGGGCGUAGCGUUGUUCGGAAUUACUGGGCGUAAAGCGCACGUAGGCGGACAUUUAAGUCAGGGGUGGAAAUCCCGGGGCUCAACCCCGGAACUGCCUUUGAUACUGGGUGUCUUGAGUGUGGUAGAGGUGAGUGGAAUUGCGAGUGUAGAGGUGAAAUUCGUAGAUAUUCGCAGGAACACCAGUGGCGAAAGGCGGCUCACUGGACCACAACUGACGCUGAGGUGCGAAAGCGUGGGGAGCAAACAGGAUU